AAGAAGAAGACGAUAUAUUUAUAUAUUUAGAAAAAAUUUAACUUUUAACUUUAAUAUAUUAUUUUGCAUGUGCAGCACGGAUUUGUCUAUCGUGAAAACAACAAGUCACCAGGAUACUAUGAUGGCAGGUCAGUACCAAAUCCACAAUAUUUUAGUUAAAUUAUAGAUAUAUGUACGCAGAUCUUGAAAAGAAGUACAAAAUCAUGUUUCGAGACCAUGUUUUAGAAGAACGAAAUCUUGAAUUUUAAAUCCUGAAUCCGGUACUGAUGCAGAUACUGGACCAUGUGGAAGCUACCUAUGUUCGGAUGCACUGAUGCCACCCAAGUGUUGGCUGAGGUAGAAGAGGCGAAGAAGGCAUACCCACAGGCCUGGAUCCGUAUCAUUGGAUUCGACAACGUGCGUCAAGUGCAGUGCAUCAGUUUCAUCGCCUACAAGCCAGAAGGCUACUAAGUUUCAUAUUAGGACAACUUACCCUAUUGUCUGACUUUAGGGGCAGUUUGUUUGAAAUGUUACUUAGCUUCUUUUUUUUUCUUCUUCCCACAAAAAUUGUUUUAUGUUUCCUACUUUCUAUUCGGUGUAUGUUUUUGGAUUCCUACCAAGUUAUGAGAACUAAUAAUAAUUAUGAUUUGGUGCUUUGUUUGUAAAUUUUGUUGUUUCACAUUCGUGUGGCGUAUAUGAGUUUCAUCUUGAUAAUAUCUGCAAAUCUUAAAUGCAAAUUAUGGUCCACACACGCACCAUAAAACACCCUCACUCCAACCAAUUUCAGAUGAUAGAAA
This 776-nucleotide long non-coding RNA is filed under the name Nicotiana tabacum (common tobacco). RNAcentral's name for it is "long non-coding RNA (NTAB_LNC003609)". Lineage: Eukaryota; Viridiplantae; Streptophyta; Magnoliopsida; Solanales; Solanaceae. The record is from RNAcentral.